Molecule: ribosomal RNA, 490 nt
Filed under: uncultured bacterium
Lineage: Bacteria
Description: partial 16S ribosomal RNA
Rfam family: Bacterial small subunit ribosomal RNA
Source: RNAcentral
AUUGAACGCUGGCGGCAGGCCUAACACAUGCAAGUCGAACGGUAACAGGAAACAGCUUGCUGUUUCGCUGACGAGUGGCGGACGGGUGAGUAAUGUCUGGGAAACUGCCUGAUGGAGGGGGAUAACUACUGGAAACGGUAGCUAAUACCGCAUAACGUCGCAAGACCAAAGAGGGGGACCUUCGGGCCUCUUGCCAUCGGAUGUGCCCAGAUGGGAUUAGCUAGUAGGUGGGGUAACGGCUCACCUAGGCGACGAUCCCUAGCUGGUCUGAGAGGAUGACCAGCCACACUGGAACUGAGACACGGUCCAGACUCCUACGGGUGGCAGCAGUGGGGAAUAUUGCACAAUGGGCGCAAGCCUGAUGCAGCCAUGCCGCGUGUAUGAAGAAGGCCUUCGGGUUGUAAAGUACUUUCAGCGGGGAGGAAGGGAGUAAAGUUAAUACCUUUACUCAUUGACGUUACCCGCAGAAGAAGCACCGGCUAACUCCGUG